GGCGAGGAGCAGAGAGACACGGAGAAACACAGAAUAAUGCUGAGUAACACAGAAGAUUCACGGAGAAACACAGACGACGCGACGAGGAGCACAGGCAGACACACAGUAUAAAUACACACACCAGAAGUUCCACAUGCUGACUGCCAGCUCUGCAAGCAUCCAGUCAUCUCUGCUGAGAGAGAACAAGAUACACAGCGCCCCCAUCAGGAACCAGAUUGGAAAGAUGUGUGCGGCAGAAGAUGCUGGGAGUGUCGAUGGCAG
Molecule: long non-coding RNA, 261 nt
Organism: Oreochromis aureus
Lineage: Eukaryota; Metazoa; Chordata; Actinopteri; Cichliformes; Cichlidae
Source: Ensembl